CUUCCGCCCAAUCACAGUGCCGAGCCGAGCGGAGCCGGGCCGGGCCGUGCGGGAUCAGGAGGGGAAGGGAAGGGAAAGGAAAGCAGGAUGAUGACUGACCCACUUGUCUCUGAGAGUCUGUGAUUUGCAUGCCCCAGUCUUGGAAAAUAAAGCUGAUGUGUAGACUAGUCAUAUCAACUACUUGAGGGAUCUGCUUGAGGAAGAGCUGAAUCACGUCUUUGCUUGCAGACUGUAACAGAAAUCUGGAUAACUUGUUCAAGACGUUGAUACCUGCAUUAAAGAAGCAUAAAGCUAGCCAAGAUAUGCACCAAUCUGUCUUUUUUCAUAUAGAGGAAAUGUCUAGCAGAUUAAGAUGCAUUAUUAUUAAAAAUAUGUCAGUGCAUAUUCUGUGAUCUUCAGAAGUAAAAGUUCUUUAGCAAUUAAGUUAAUGGAAUAGGAACUUUUCCUUCAGCUGAAACAUAAAGAAUAUGACUUUAGAAAGUAUUACAACUAAACUCUAUUGUAACUUGAAAUAUUCUGAGAUAUCAUAUAAAAUUCUUUUAUAUGAUGUCUGAGGCCUAGAGUUGUAUGUUUCAGAAAUAUAGUAUCUGAGAAAAUGAACACCUCUUGGAUGACUACAUUCUGAAUUUGUUGCCACAGAAACCAUGGGGGAGGACAGCAUCAGGGGAAUGGGAAAGAAUAGAAAAAAGUAUUUGAUUGGCCAUUUAUGAGCAAAAAAAAGCAAGCAUGGGUAUUUAGCUGGCUAGAAGAGUCAAACAUUCAUAUAUCCAGCAGUUCAUUUACUGAAAUACAGUGCUGACCAUACAUCUCCAAAACAAUAAUUCCUUACAUUAUUAAUCAGACACACCACAGCAGAUACUCCUCUAUCAUCCAGAGUAGACAAAAUCUUUAAAACAUGACACCAGAAAAAUGAGAGAGCGUGCUGUCUCCCUGAAGCAAAAAACAGGAAAAGCAAUUGCACUACUGCAGAAGCUGAUAUGGUUAUCUGGGAGAUAAUUCAGUUUGGAACCAAUUAUGUGGCAUCAAGUGGAACCAUACAGGCCAUAGAAUACUGCAGAAAAUCUUGAAAGGCACUUGAACGGAAAGUCAGAGAUUGCCUAGAAGUUUCUUCCUGCCUGUAAAUUAAAGAAAGAAGACAAAAUAUG
Molecule: long non-coding RNA, 1145 nt
Organism: Pseudopipra pipra
Lineage: Eukaryota; Metazoa; Chordata; Aves; Passeriformes; Pipridae
Exons: 2
Source: RefSeq, a predicted model, not a curated record